UUUACUAUAAACUUUUCAAUGAAUGCAGGUAAUGUAUUUGUGUGACUACAUUCUUGGGGGUGACCUUAAUGGGUCUAGCUCAACCAAAGAGGAGUUUCUAAAGUUUCAAGGAGGUUUGAUCCAGAUAGGGACUUGGUAAGGGUUGGCAUUGCAAAUCAGACAACAAUGCUCAAGGGAGAAACUGAAGAGAUUGGUAAAUAAGUAGAAAGGACUAUGAUGUGCAAGCAUGGAGUGGAAAAUGUUAAUGAGCACUUCAAAAGCUUCAAUAACAUUUGUGA
This is a long non-coding RNA of Quercus lobata, 278 nucleotides long. RefSeq lists it as uncharacterized. NCBI's taxonomy places the organism in Eukaryota, Viridiplantae, Streptophyta, Magnoliopsida, Fagales, Fagaceae. The transcript is spliced from 3 exons. The record is from RefSeq and is a predicted model, not a curated record.